This 273-nucleotide ribosomal RNA is filed under the name uncultured bacterium. RNAcentral describes it as "partial 16S ribosomal RNA". It matches the Rfam family "Bacterial small subunit ribosomal RNA", at positions 523 to 796 of the family's 1533-position model. The record is from RNAcentral.
AUACGGAGGGUGCAAGCGUUAUCCGGAAUCACUGGGUUUAAAGGGUCCGUAGGCGGACUAUUAAGUCAGAGGUGAAAUCCCACAGCUCAACUGUGGAACUGCCUUUGAUACUGGUAGUCUUGAGUUAUAUGGAAGUAGAUAAAUGUGUAGUGAAGCGGUGAAAUGCAUAGAUAUUACACAGAAUACCGAUUGCGAAGGCAGUCUACUACGUAUAUACUGACGCAAAGGGACGAAAGCGUGGGGAGCGAACAGGAUUAGAAACCCUAGUAGUCC